Long non-coding RNA from Lagenorhynchus albirostris (white-beaked dolphin), 2124 nucleotides. RefSeq lists it as uncharacterized. Lineage: Eukaryota; Metazoa; Chordata; Mammalia; Artiodactyla; Delphinidae. The transcript has 3 exons. The record is from RefSeq and is a predicted model, not a curated record.
AAGCAGAUUACUACAACUAAAAACGGCUUAAGUGUAAUCACGUGGCACAAAAUGCUAUGCUGACUAUAAAUCUCAACUCAGCAUGGGAGUUCUCAUUGUGAGGGACUCUUUAGCAGUGCGCAUGUUCUACUUGACCUUCUUGGCAAGGCCCCAGGGAGCCCGGAGCAUAGCCCAGGCUGGGCUCUCAGUGGUCUGGACACCACUGCGGGGUGAAAGGGGCUGGCUGGCAGCUUCAGCAGAUGGAGUUAAGAGGAAAUGAAGGUGAAGUCCAAGGGGAGAGAGCCACUGCUGUGGGUUGAGUUAAUCGAGAACAAGUGACCAGGGCCCUCGCAGCCAAUGCUACCAUGAAGCUGUUCCUUCUCUGCUCACAGCCAUGAACUGUGACAUGUGCCAUGUGAGUUAUGUGUGAGAUCCUGAAAUCUCCAAAGGAAAACAAGACUUGAGCUGUCUACUGACAGGAAUUCUAGGAAAUAUAGUGGGCCAGAAAUGGGAAGCAUAAAAACAGUCGCCAGAAGAAACUUGGUGACCCUCCCCUGAAUUGUCACUGACACUUCUGACAUUACAAGGGAAUGAAAAAAAACGCCUGAUUUCACCUGGAGGGGUGGGGUCAGGAAGAGACCUGCUGAAAUGAUCGGGCUACAACCAGAAGCCUCCUGAGAGGCAUUUCUGCUUUAGGGUGUAAAGUGGGCAAGGACGGGGAAAUGCUGCAGCCUGCUGUGUUAGAGAAAGGAGCUAUUUGAGCAGCUCAGCCUCAGCACUACCAGAAGUGGGAAGGCUGUGGUAAAGGUGAAGAGCUGAUAAGAAUAAUAGCAAGAGCUUCAGAGUGAGUGCCCAGCCAGCAGAGCAGUGGCCUAAAGAGCUUUCCAAGUAUUUGACCUCUCUGGGCCUCAGUUUCCUUAUCUGAAAACAGAGAUGAUAAUAAUAGCGUGCACUGGUUUCCUAGGGUUGUUGUAGCAAAUACUACAAACUAGGUGGCUUUAAACAACAGAAAUUUACUCUCUCACAGUUCUGGAAGCUAGAAUUCAAAAAUAAAGGUGUCAGCAGGGCUAUGCUCCCUCUGAAAGUUCUAGGAAAGAACCCUUCCUUGCCUCUUCCAGCUUCUGGUGGUCGCCAGUAAUCCCUGCCAUUCUUUGUAUAUGGCAGCGUAUCUCCUAUCUCUGCCUCCAUCUCUACGUGGUCAUCUUUCCUCUGUGAGUGUCUCCCCCUUCUUAUAAGAACACCAGGCAUUGGAUUAGGGCCCAAUCAAGUUAUGACUUCAUCAUAACUUGAUUAUACCUUACAAAGACCUUAUUUCCAAAUACGAUCACAUUCAUAGAUUCUAGGUGGAUAUGAAUUUUUAGGGGGACACUAUGCAACCCAGUAUAGAGCACCUACCACAUAAAGAGUUGAUAUAUAUAAGAUGCUUAAAACAGUUCCUGGUAGAUAAUAUAUGCCAUGUAUGAGUUAGCUACCUUUCUUCAUUAUCUCUGGCAGAUAGUAGCUACCAUGAAAUAUGUGGAUGCUCUGUUGUAUAAGAAUCAUCCUCCCUCCAUCUUGAGUCAGAGGCAAAAAACUGGGUGGGACUAGAGUUCCAAAAAGAGAAGAUGAGGACAGAGCUAGAACACAAUGGGUUUAUUACCAUUCAACACUCCCUCUACCAAUACCCUAUCAAUACACCUAGGCUGGAGUGAGGAAAUAUCUGCUACAGUCACAUCAUUUGUUUUUUGAACAACAGAGAACUUAUCACUCCAAACUAACAAUGGCCCCAUCAAAGAAGUCCUCAAAUUAGGACCCACUUAGGAGGAGCUUCCAGAGCCAGGAGAGAAGCUGCACCAGUGAGCCCAGCAGCCUCAUCAUUUAGAAUCAACUGGGACACAGGUUCGAGCCUUGGUCCAGGAAGAUCCCACAUGCUGCGGAGCAACUAAGCCCCUGCACCACAGCUACUGAGCCUGUACACCAUAACUACUGAAGCCUGCACUCCUAGAGCCCGUGCUCUGCAACAAGAGGAGCCACCGCAAUGAGAAGCCCACGCACCACAACAAACAGCAGCCCCUGCUCGCCGCAACUAGAGAAAGACUGCACGCAGCAACAAAGACCCAACGCAGCCAAAAAUAAAUAAAAAUAAAAUAAAUAAAUUUAUUUUUA